GAUGAACGCUGACAGAAUGCUUAACACAUGCAAGUCGAUGGGGAAGUGGUGCUUGCACCAUGGUAACCAUGGCGGACGGGUGAGUAACGCGUAAGGAACUUGCCUGCGGGACUGGGAUAACAGCAGGAAACUGCUGAUAAUACCGGAUAAGGUCAUUAAGCUGCAUAGCUUAGUGAUGAAAGGAGACGCCUGCGGAGAGCCUUGCGUCCUAUUAGCUAGUUGGAGGGGUAACGGCCCACCAAGGCGAAGAUAGGUAGCCGGCCUGAGAGGGUGGACGGCCACAAGGGGACUGAGAUACGGCCCCUACUCCUACGGGAGGCAGCAGUGGGGAAUAUUGGACAAUGGGGGCAACCCUGAUCCAGCAAUUCUGUGUGCACGAAGACGGUUUUCGGAUUGUAAAGUGCUUUCAGCAGGGAAGAAGGAAGUGACGGUACCUGCAGAAGAAGCGACGGCUAAAUACGUG
RNAcentral lists this ribosomal RNA (463 nucleotides) under uncultured bacterium. RNAcentral's name for it is "partial 16S ribosomal RNA". It matches the Rfam family "Bacterial small subunit ribosomal RNA", at positions 28 to 507 of the family's 1533-position model. The record is from RNAcentral.